GGGGCUGGGGCUCAGUGGUGGAGCGCUCGCCUAACAUGUGUGAGGCAUGGGUUCGGCCCUCAGCACCA
Molecule: transfer RNA, 68 nt
Filed under: Marmota marmota marmota (Alpine marmot)
Lineage: Eukaryota; Metazoa; Chordata; Mammalia; Rodentia; Sciuridae
Also listed under: 1 other name
Rfam family: tRNA
About the family: Transfer RNA (tRNA) molecules are approximately 80 nucleotides in length. Their secondary structure includes four short double-helical elements and three loops (D, anti-codon, and T loops). Further hydrogen bonds mediate the characteristic L-shaped molecular structure. tRNAs have two regions of fundamental functional importance: the anti-codon, which is responsible for specific mRNA codon recognition, and the 3' end, to which the tRNAs corresponding amino acid is attached (by aminoacyl-tRNA synthetases). tRNAs cope with the degeneracy of the genetic code in two manners: having more than one tRNA (with a specific anti-codon) for a particular amino acid; and 'wobble' base-pairing, i.e. permitting non-standard base-pairing at the 3rd anti-codon position.
Source: Rfam by way of RNAcentral